Molecule: RNA transcript, 1523 nt
Organism: Megalobrama amblycephala (Wuchang bream)
Lineage: Eukaryota; Metazoa; Chordata; Actinopteri; Cypriniformes; Xenocyprididae
Gene name: tripartite motif-containing protein 16-like protein
Exons: 6
Source: RefSeq, a predicted model, not a curated record
AUACUCAGAAUUGGAAGGUGUUUCAAUGUAACAACUUCUCAAGACAGUUGGAAGAACAGGAAACAUCUACACCAUCAUUAUUCACGCUGUGAAUCUGUGAAGGACGAUGGAGACUGUUGAAAAGAUACUUGAGGAUUCCCUCAGAGACAUGGUAAAUGCUGACAUGGAAGAGUUCAUUCGGCGCUUAGCGAAAGAUCACAAGUGUAUAUCAAGGUCUGAUACAGAGAAUGCAAGUAGGUUAAAAACUGUGGAUAUUAUGGUGGAGCGUUUUGGACCAGAAAAAGCUGUGAAGAUCACUGUGGAGAUCCUGAGGAAGAUGCACAGGACUAAUCCGGCUAAUCAGCUGGAGAAAGAAUACAACAAAGCUCAGGCUGAGGGCAGUGGCGAGUGUCCUGAGCCAAAACCGACCGGAGAAACUGAUGACAUGACCAAGAACAUCUUCCUACAAUAUUACCAUCAGUUCACUGCGGAUCCGAACACAGUGAAUAAACAACUCCAACUGUCUGUGAGGAACACAGUGAUUACUUACACUGACACACCACAGUCGUAUCCUGAUAAUCCUGAAAGAUUUGAUUAUUAUCCUCUGGUGUUGUGUAGAGAGAGUGUGAAUGAUCGACGCUGUUACUGGGAGACUGAGUGUUUUGGAGAUGUGUAUAUAGCAGUGUCAUAUAAGAGCAUCACCAGGAAGGGAACGGCUUAUGACAGCUGGUUUGGAUAUAAUGAUAAGUCCUGGAGUUUGAUGUGCUCUCCCUCCAGUUACGCAUUCAUGCACAACAGCAAACAGACUAGUAUCUCUCUAAAGCCCACCAGCGGCAGAGUAGGAGUGUAUGUGGAUCACAGAGCAGGAACUCUGUCCUUCUACAACUUCUCUGGAGACACAAUGAUCCCUAUCCACACAGUCCAGACCACAUUCACUCAACCACUCUAUCCUGGGUUUAGGGUUGGUAAUGGAUCAGUGAAACUGUUGAUGAAACAGGUUCUAUAGAGAUAUUACCCAUAAUGCUUUGGGCUCAUGAUAGAUCAGUAACAGUGAGAUGUUAUAGAGUCUCUUAUUUUCUCUUCAUUAUAUUAAUUACUACAGCUGAACAUCUGUCAGUGAAAUAAUGUCAGAAUAAAUGACAAUAAAUCCUCAUAUGGAUCAGUGUGUGUGUGUGUUUUCUCAAGUUUAUGGUGAUGGAAAUGAGUUUUUAUUAUAGUGUCACUCAAUCAUUUAUCAUGUGUGUAGAACUGAGAUUAGCUGAACAUCUGAACAUCUGUCCUCAUAUGGAUCAGUUUGUGUGUUUUCUCAAGUUUAUGGUGAUGGAAAUGAGUUUUUAUUAUAGUGUCACUCAAUCAUUUAUCAUGUGUGUAGAAUUGAGAUUAGUUGAACAUGUUUUAAUCAGAUGUAUUUCAGGGGUUCAAGCGCUGAAGCUGCAGCAUCAUUAUUGUGUUUGUGCUGUUUAUCAAUGAUUGUUUUUCUGCUCUAAACAUGUCUGUACGUCACUGAGGAAAUAAUAAAAACUUCUUCUGGACUGUUGGUGUUG